Long non-coding RNA from Drosophila suzukii, 399 nucleotides. RefSeq lists it as uncharacterized. The record is from RefSeq and is a predicted model, not a curated record. NCBI's taxonomy places the organism in Eukaryota, Metazoa, Arthropoda, Insecta, Diptera, Drosophilidae.
GGCGUGGCCCCAGGGCCGAAAGUCCAUUUCGGGUGUUCCAGUGGGUCGCAAAAGGGGUGGAAGUGCCGGUUGCUGUUGACUUAUUUACAUAAGGAUUAGACGCAGACAAAGACGAAUGCCAAGACCUCAGAGGGCUCUCGGGUGAUAGAACUGAUGGAACGGCCUGGCUGUACAUCUGGCGUCAGGGGCUUCCGAGACAGAGUCUGCAUUUGGGGGCGCGGCGGCGACUUCAUUACUCUGCGUCAUUAGGCACUCAAAUUGUUGCCAUUGGGUUUAACUCUUCUACUGAGUACAGGGUAUAAAAAGGGUAUAUUAUAACUAAGCAAAACUAUUCAAAAAAGAGAGAUCCUAAGAAUCUGUAAAGAAGUGGUUUAUUAUGCAAUUUUAGACAUGAUAUUA